AGGCAACCCGCGGGCCGAGACGGGGUAGUGAGGGCCGGAAGCCCGGCUCCCGACUCCGCUUCGUCCCCACAACCUCCGGCCGCCUGAAGUCCUGAGGGGCCGUGGCCCUGGGUCGUCUCCCCUGUUCCCAGCCUCCAGUCGCAGCUGGCGGAGAGAAGUUCCCGAGGCCCCCCCGACUUGCAAGGAGGCCGACCCAAGUCUCCCUGCUGUCAUUUCAGGAGGCCGAAUUUUUUCCCAAUCCCAGAGAAGGUGUCAGAGGCCUGGAGCUUCCCUUUCCAUCUCCAGGGCUACUGAGAAAAUGUUGGACAGAGGAAGGAAGGCAGGGCAGGGCCAGGCUGCAGCUAGCAUCUGGACUGUUGGCUAAUGCUGGUGAUGGCGCAGAAGACCCUUGCCCCCUUUUACAGCUUCUCCCCUAGAAGCCUGGCCCAGAUGCCUGAAUUCCCACCUUUCAUGCACUUAGCCCUGGGGCUUGCAGUUUUGCCAGGUCCUUACUGCCUCCUCCCUCCUGUGGCCUGCCCGGAGGGGCACACAAGCAAAGCCAGUGCCUCUGUGGACAGGCAGCUUAAGACAUUAGGAGACAAAUGAAGGAAGGAGGCAAAACUUCCAAGGCCGGACUAUCUCCUCUGGACCAGAGUUUCGGCCUGCUGGGAAUGGAGUCACCAGCCCCGGGGGGGCUGACAGGUGGCUCCCGCCUACAGAGCUGUAACUCAUCCCUGCUGCUGAACAGGAAAGGGCCUGCCUUACCCAGAUCCCAUCCUCCGGAAAGGGUUAGUCAGGCAAGUGUGCUGAGAGGCCCCUGGGAACCUCGUCUCGAUUAACCCAUCAGAAAGCAGCCCAUCCUUUGCACCCAGCUCUCAGAUGGAAAAGUGAAGCCCAGAAGGAAGGGACCUGACACGGAGGCUUCCUUGGUAGCAUUUCAGUCUCAAGGGAAGAACUGUGGGCCUCCCCUGGAGCACUGGUGAAGUAAGGGGUUGGUUUGGAUAUUGUCUCCUGACUGGGAUAUGGGCAGGACUGACAGGGAGCUGGAGUCCUAACGAAGCCUGGGCUAGGUGCAGGAAGAACCAACCCAGUGGUCUCCUGACAUCUCCCACGCCCCCACCGCAGCUGGGUCACCUCCAGAAUACGGAGGAGAGAGCUGGAGGUGGAGGAACUAAGGACCUUCUUUGCCAGGUGGGGACUUAAAGUUUCAGUUACUCAUUGUUGGGGCUCAGAAACCAAUACCCCGAAAUAUAGUGGUGUGACAUUCUGAACUGAAGAAGCCUUAAGGUCUCUCCGACCAGACUCCCACAGGCCCCCCAACCCUUUGUCUCUUCCAAAGCAUACAGUGAAGUUGUUCUCUGAAGUUCCUCAUCUGCCUUAAGUCUGGACCCACCAAAGAAGAAAACAAUGACCACUGGUCCCUUCCCGGAGUUUUCUCUGACUGAACUGCUGUCACAGGAAGAAAGACUGAAGCCUGCUCACAUACCUGGACAGAUUUUGCAAACCGUUGUCUGCUCUGUGAGCCCAACAGACUUUGUCCCAGGCCACUGUAUGUUCUUCAAGCCCACUGAAUUCCCCUGAAAAUCAUUUACUAGCCCCCUGAAAUUACCCACACUUCCCCAUUGCUCAUCUGUACCCCAUUUCGUGGUGGGGCAGUCACUCUGAUUUCCCCUUGCAUGCUAAUGAAUGUGUAUUCCAUUUCUAUUCUGCUUUCAUGAGCUGACUUUUCAGUGAACCUUCAGAGGGUAAAGGGGAAGUUUUCCCUUGGCCCCUGCACCGCAAUUGGUAAGGUCCAAAAUGUUAAAUGGAAAAUUCCAGAAAUAGCUGGUCGUGAUGGCUCCUGCCUGUAAUCCCAGCACUUUGGGAGGCCGAGGUAGGUGGAUAGCUUGAAGUCAGGAGUUCGAGACCAGCCUGGCCAACAUGGUGAAACCCUGUCUGUACUAAAAGUACCAAAAUUAGCUGGGCGUGGUGGCGCACGCCUGUAGUCCCUGCUACUUGGGAGGCUGAGGCAGGAGAAUCACUUGAACCUGGGAGGCAGAGGUUGCAGUGAGCAGAGAUCGCACCACCACUCCAGCCUGGAUGACAGAGUAAGACUCCGUCUCAAAAAAAAAAAAAAAAGAAAAUUCUAGAAAUAAACAAUUCAUGUUUUAAAUAAC
RNAcentral lists this long non-coding RNA (2135 nucleotides) under Homo sapiens (human). RNAcentral's name for it is "ADIRF antisense RNA 1, transcript variant 4 (ADIRF-AS1)". Lineage: Eukaryota; Metazoa; Chordata; Mammalia; Primates; Hominidae. The record is from RNAcentral.